GUGGGGAAUCUUGCGCAAUGGGCGAAAGCCUGACGCAGCCAUGCCGCGUGGAUGAUGAAGGUCUUAGGAUUGUAAAAUCCUUUCACCGGUGAAGAUAAUGACUGUAGCCGGAGAAGAAGCCCCGGCUAACUUCGUGCCAGCAGCCGCGGUAAUACGAAGGGGGCUAGCGUUGCUCGGAUUUACUGGGCGUAAAGGGCGCGUAGGCGGACAUUUAAGUCAGGGGUGAAAUCCCGGGGCUCAACCUCGGAACUGCCUUUGAGACUGGGUGUCUUGAGUAUGAGAGAGGUGUGUGGAACUCCGAGUGUAGAGGUGAAAUUCGUAGAUAUUCGGAAGAACACCAGUGGCGAAGGCGACACACUGGCUCAUUACUGACGCUGAGGCGCGAAAGCGUGGGGAGCAAACAGGAUUAGAUACCCCGGUAGUCC
Molecule: ribosomal RNA, 425 nt
Filed under: uncultured bacterium
Lineage: Bacteria
Description: partial 16S ribosomal RNA
Rfam family: Bacterial small subunit ribosomal RNA
Source: RNAcentral